GGCAAAUACAAUAUGAGUCUUAAAUAUCUUGUGGUGCCAGAAGGAGUGGAUGUUAUGACAGAGGAAUGUAGGAAGGAAGGACAUCAGGCUCUGAACAUCCAUCCAUGUAAAACAUUGAAUAAGACUAGCUGUUAAACAGGGCUUUUUCCCUAGAAAGGUGUCAUAAUUUUGACUCCAUCAAAUUCUUCUAACAGCAAGUACUCAUUUGGGCCCAUUUUACAGAAGAAGGAAAACUCUUGAGUUUUGAAGAUGAAGAAAAACCGAAGCUAUAAGGACUGAGAUAAAAUGCCAAGGACAUAUAGCUUGAAAAAGGCAUGGCUAGAAUGUGCACUCAGUAUGACCUCAGCACCCAAGCUCUUUACCAAUAUAUGCUGCAAUCUUAGGCUCAUCAACUGCACACAGUGAAUUGUGGUGCUACUUCGUCUAAGCCUGCAUUCUCCUUCAGAGCCUACACCUCCCUUUCAGCUGUUUUCACCUUCACUGUUCCAAAAAAAGCAGACUUUGAAAACUUAAGAAAUGACAUUAAAAAAAAUCAAAAUCGAUUCAGAUUGACAUUCAACUUUAUUCAUUAAGUUGAACUAGGUCUAACAUAAAUGCCUAGGUAUAAAACCUAAAGAAUAGGGGCAGAUGAUUUUGUGAAAAGUAAUAAUAAUAGUGAUAAGCUUUUGCUUUUUAUGAACAAAUUUACAACCUACAUACUUUAUGAAUUUGAAAGAAACUUAAAUGAUCUGAUUUAACUAACUAUCCCUAAAUUCUGUUAACACGUCCCUGACAGAUGAUCUAAUAGUGGCUGGGAAAUUGGCACCACUCAAAACUUCCAAUAUUUACUGCUACGUUGCACAAAAUUUCUGCUUCCAUUUGAGCACACACUCAUCUUCCUAAACUGUCAAUUGAUCUUAAU
This 901-nucleotide long non-coding RNA is filed under the name Homo sapiens (human). RNAcentral describes it as "HSALNT0173091". The record is from RNAcentral. Lineage: Eukaryota; Metazoa; Chordata; Mammalia; Primates; Hominidae.